RNAcentral lists this ribosomal RNA (440 nucleotides) under uncultured bacterium. RNAcentral's name for it is "partial 16S ribosomal RNA". It matches the Rfam family "Bacterial small subunit ribosomal RNA", at positions 338 to 795 of the family's 1533-position model. The record is from RNAcentral.
CCUACGGGAGGCAGCAGUGGGGAAUAUUGCACAAUGGGGGAAACCCUGAUGCAGCGACGCCGCGUGAGUGAAGAAGUAUUUCGUUAUGUAAAGCUCUAUCAGCAGGGAAGAAAAUGACGGUACCUGAGUAAGAAGCCCCGGCUAACUACGUGCCAGCAGCCGCGGUAAUACGUAGGGGGCAAGCGUUAUCCGGAUUUACUGGGUGUAAAGGGAGCGUAGACGGCAGGGCAAGUCUGGAGGUAAAGGCGGGGGCUCAACCCCCGGACUGCUGUGGAAACUGUGCGGCUUGAGUGCAGGAGAGGUAGGUGGAAUUCCGAGUGUAGCGGUGAAAUGCGUAGAUAUGAGGAGGAACACCGGUGGCGAAGGCGGCUUACUGGACUGUAACUGACGUUGAGGCUCGAAAGCGUGGGGAGCAAACAGGAUUAGAUACCCUUGUAGUC